This is a long non-coding RNA of Lathyrus oleraceus (garden pea), 1104 nucleotides long. RefSeq lists it as uncharacterized. The record is from RefSeq and is a predicted model, not a curated record. The transcript is spliced from 3 exons. Lineage: Eukaryota; Viridiplantae; Streptophyta; Magnoliopsida; Fabales; Fabaceae.
AAAACUUCAAGUCCAAAUGUAACGGCUAUGGUGGAUGGAAAAAGAAAUUAAACAUGGGGGAAAUAUUCAUUAGGUCUAGGCGCACAAAGUGGUAUGAAGUUUUACUCAAAAUAGAAACUCACAGUACCUGUACGGAAGCAAGCUCAAAGGUGUGAAAAUGGUGGAUUUGCAAGCUCAAACAAAAAUUUGUGAGUUGGCAAAGUGAUGCUGCAAUGGUCUUUUUGCAGUGCAAAUCCUUUAGUUUUGUGGGAAGGUAGGAAAAUAUGGUGUAUUGGUUGGGGCCCACUGACUCAAGAUAACUUGGUGGAUAAAACACUACAUUUGCAAGGUGCAUUGCAGGUGGGCAUUCUGUAGAUUGGUUUAGGGACAUUGUUCUGCAUGUUGAUGCUUGCUGCAAGGCUUGAUUGUAGACUGGUUUAGGGACACUCAUGGUGUAGCAAAUGGUAUGCUGCUUGGUCUUUGCUCAUGCCUUUUUGUGUGCUGCAGAAUUGGUAAAGUCCUGCAUAAUUGUGUUGCAUUUGUGAAGCUAUGCAGGAUUUCAAGGCAUGUUCUUGUGAGUUGUAAUCCACAUGAUGGUUUGCUUCAUGGCCUGAGUUUCUAAUGCAUUAUUGCAGGUUGCAUUAGGCAUGAACUUGUUUUGCUUUGAUGGCUUGCAAUGCCUAUGGUUGGACCAUGCUAUAAUGGCUCUUUACACAAGUUUGAUGCAUUACUUUUGCAUGACAUAAUUAACAUAUGAAUGAUGUUUAAUGUCUUGUUUGAAUGCGUGAUAUGUUGUAAUGUCUUUGGUUGGUCUUUUGUAGGUUACGCACACAUGGAAUGGAUUGGCACAAUGACUUGCAAAGAUAUUCAACUAUCUUGCGCAUGAAGUAACAUUGGCAUAUGACACUAACCGAGGAUCAAGAGUGAAAUAGGGAUUAAGGUUUUGGGAUGGAAAAUGGGUGAGUUGACUACGGUCAAAAUGUCAACUUUUUUUUGUAAAUUUUGUAUUUUUUUUGGAACAUCUUAUGAUUUAUAAUGAAAAUUGGUGCUUUUUGUAGUAAGACAAAGAUAUCUUUUUGUAUCUUAGAACCUUCAUGCAUUCAUGUAAUGAGAUACUUUAUGAUA